GAAAGGAAACCAGGGGAUUGCUUAGUACGGCGAGUGAAGCGGCAAAAGCUCAAAUUUGAAAUCUGGCACCUUCGGUGUCCGAGUUGUAAUUUGAAGAAGGUAACUUUGGAGUUGGCUCUUGUCUAUGUUCCUUGGAACAGGACGUCACAGAGGGUGAGAAUCCCGUGCGAUGAGAUGCCCAAUUCUAUGUAAAGUGCUUUCGAAGAGUCGAGUUGUUUGGGAAUGCAGCUCUCAGUGGGUGGUAAAUUCCAUCUAAAGCUAAAUAUUGGCGAGAGACCGAUAGCGAACAAGUACAUUGAUGGAAAGAUAAAAAGAACUUUGAAAAGAGAGUGAAAAAGUACGUGAAAUUGUUGAAAGGGAGGGGCUUGAGAUCAGACUUGGUAUUUUGCUGAUCCUUUCCUUCUUGGUUGGGUUCCUCGCAGCUUACUGGGGCGGCAUCGGUUUGGAUGAUGAGAGACUGUCUCAGGAAUGUGGCUCUCCUUCUUUGAGAGGUUAAACCCUUGGGUGGUAUUUCCUUUUGAGACAGGGGACCGCCGGGUCUUCUUUCAAAAGUGUGCCCAGUUGGUUUUUUAUCCCUCCCCCAAGGGAUGCACAAAAACC
Molecule: ribosomal RNA, 600 nt
Filed under: Debaryomyces hansenii
Lineage: Eukaryota; Fungi; Ascomycota; Pichiomycetes; Serinales; Debaryomycetaceae
Description: LSU rRNA
Rfam family: Eukaryotic large subunit ribosomal RNA
Source: RNAcentral